RNAcentral lists this ribosomal RNA (493 nucleotides) under uncultured bacterium. RNAcentral describes it as "partial 16S ribosomal RNA". It matches the Rfam family "Bacterial small subunit ribosomal RNA", at positions 29 to 507 of the family's 1533-position model. The record is from RNAcentral.
ACGAACGCUGGCGGCGUGCUUAACACAUGCAAGUCGAACGGUGAAGCGCCUUCCUUUUUGGUGGGUGUGGAUGAGUGGCGGACGGGUGAGUAACACGUGAGUAACCUGCCCCCUUCUUCUGGAUAACCGCAUGAAAGUGUGGCUAAUACGGGAUAUUCUGGGUCUGUCGCAUGAUGGGUCUGGGAAAGAUAUUGUUUCGGUGGGGGAUGGGCUCGCGGCCUAUCAGCUUGUUGGUGGGGUGAUGGCCUACCAAGGCGGUGACGGGUAGCCGGCCUGAGAGGGUGGACGGUCACACUGGGACUGAGACACGGCCCAGACUCCUACGGGAGGCAGCAGUGGGGAAUAUUGCACAAUGGGCGCAAGCCUGAUGCAGCGACGCCGCGUGAGGGAUGGAGGCCUGCGGGUUGUGAACCUCUUUCGCCAGUGAAGCAGGCCUGCCUCGUUUGUGGGUGGGUUGACGGUAGCUGGAUAAGAAGCGCCGGCUAACUACGUG